AUGACUGCCAAAUAGGUGGGCCGUUCUGAAGAGAUGAAGCAGCAGACACGCUGAGUCCAAAGGAAUCCUCCAGGAUCCCCACAGGACACCUUCAUGGUGUCUUUCUUCACUGAGAUGUGGUGGAAAGAGCACAAUGCAGAACAGCAGGUUUGCUUCUUCUGUUAGCAUAAGCAGAGAGGAGAAAAGGAGGCAGCUCCUCCAAAGAGACUGGCUAAAUCUUUUGACAGGAUUGCUGCAAUCUGACUACAAAGCUCCAACAAGCCUCGGCCUCAGGAAAAUUCAUCUCUGCCCUCCCAACACACCCUGAUGUUUCUGUCUCGCUGGCUUUGAUGGCAGACAGUCCCCUGUGAGUCCCUGACCUUCACACCAGGGGAGCUGGCUGGGAUUGUUCGGUGAAGCCAUGCAACAAUAUUCCUGUUCCCAGCCUGUCGCAGCACGCGAGCCUUUCUGUGAUGACACCGUCACAUUCAUUUUCUGCAAACGCCGGCCCCGUCUCUCCACAUCCUGCUCCCCACCAGUGUCUGGGUUGAAAACUUGGUGAAGGUGCAUUGGUUGGAUGAAACUGCAACAGUAGCUACAUG
Alligator sinensis (Chinese alligator) is the source of this 581-nucleotide long non-coding RNA. RefSeq lists it as uncharacterized. The transcript is spliced from 3 exons. NCBI's taxonomy places the organism in Eukaryota, Metazoa, Chordata, Crocodylia, Alligatoridae. The record is from RefSeq and is a predicted model, not a curated record.